Molecule: ribosomal RNA, 446 nt
Filed under: uncultured bacterium
Lineage: Bacteria
Description: partial 16S ribosomal RNA
Rfam family: Bacterial small subunit ribosomal RNA
Source: RNAcentral
CCUACGGGAGGCAGCAGUCGAGAAUCAUUCACAAUGGGGGAAACCCUGAUGGUGCGACGCCGCGUGGGGGAAUGAAGGUCUUCGGAUUGUAAACCCCUGUCAUGUGGGAGCAAAUUAAAAAGAUAGUACCACAAGAGGAAGAGACUGCUAACUCUGUGCCAGCAGCCGCGGUAAUACAGAGGUCUCAAGCGUUGUUCGGAAUCACUGGGCGUAAAGCGUGCGUAGGCUGUUUCGUAAGUCGUGUGUGAAAGGCGCGGGCUCAACCCGCGGACGGCACAUGAUACUGCGAGACUAGAGUAAUGGAGGGGGAACCGGAAGUCUCGGUGUAGCAGUGAAAUGCGGAGAUAUCGAGAGGAACACUCGUGGCGAAGGCGGGUUCCUGGACAUUAACUGACGCUGAGGCACGAAGGCCAGGGGAGCGAAAGGGAUUAGAUACCCUGGUAGUC